GGAUGUGAGGGCAAUCUGGCCAUGACAUCUGUCACCCAUUGAUCCCCAGGGUUGAUCUGGCUGAUCUGGCUGGCUAGGCGGGUGUUCCCGUCCUCCCUGACCGCUCCAUGUGCAUCACUUCCAAAGCUGUGUGCUCGGUUGAAGAGGACAAUCAUUCCCAAUAGAGGAGGACCAUUCUUCGGUCAAGGGUAUACGAGUAGCUGCGCUCCCCUGCUAGAACCUCCAAACAAGCUGUCAAGGUCCAUUGUAGGAGAACGUAGGCUGGCUAAGACUGGAGAGGGACUGCAGAGUCAAGGGCCCCAUGGGCCAUACCU
This is an unclassified non-coding RNA of Tupaia belangeri (northern tree shrew), 314 nucleotides long. Its record names the gene 7SK. It matches the Rfam family "7SK RNA". Rfam says of the family: 7SK was discovered as an abundant small nuclear RNA in the mid-70s but a possible function has only recently been suggested. Two independent studies have found that 7SK RNA binds the CDK9/cyclin T complex (known as elongation factor P-TEFb). The record is from Ensembl. NCBI's taxonomy places the organism in Eukaryota, Metazoa, Chordata, Mammalia, Scandentia, Tupaiidae.